AAAUUGUUGCAGUUAAAAGCUCGUAGUUGAAUUUCUGCUACAUUGCCUAUUCUCCUUUACGAGUUUGGGUCUUUUGUGGCUUAUCUGGGUUCGCUUGCGUUCCCGGUGUUUUACUUUGAGAAAAUUAGAGUGCUCAAAGCAGGCUUUUGCCUUGAAUAGUUUAGCAUGGAAUAAUAAAGUAGGACUUUGGUUCUAUUUUGUUGGUUUUAGGUACCAAAGUAAUGGUUAAUAGGAACAGUUGGGGGCAUUCGUAUUUAACUGUCAGAGGGGAAAUUCUUAGAUUUGUUAAAGACAAACUACUGCGAAAG
RNAcentral lists this ribosomal RNA (308 nucleotides) under Theileria velifera. RNAcentral describes it as "SSU rRNA". It matches the Rfam family "Eukaryotic small subunit ribosomal RNA", at positions 607 to 951 of the family's 1831-position model. The record is from RNAcentral. Lineage: Eukaryota; Apicomplexa; Aconoidasida; Piroplasmida; Theileriidae.